AAUAUUUAAAAUAAUUUUAUAUAAAAGAAUUUUAAUAAAAUAAUAUUAA
This 49-nucleotide ribosomal RNA is filed under the name Vanessa dimorphica mortoni. Its description in RNAcentral is "Antanartia dimorphica mortoni partial 16S ribosomal RNA". Lineage: Eukaryota; Metazoa; Arthropoda; Insecta; Lepidoptera; Nymphalidae. The record is from RNAcentral.